AUAUACACCUAAAAAAAAAGUUGAGAAAAAUCACGUAAUUGACUUCAUAAAGCUUGUGUUAGCACUUGAAGCUCUGUGCGCCUUACCCGCUCCGGCUCCCCCGUCAUGGCCUUGCUGGUAAGGGUGGCCUGUCCCUCUGCUCUAUGUGGUUUAGGACUCAGCGAAUGCUCUCUACACCAAAUGCCUCCAGCAGCUUCUGAGGGACUCUCACCUGAAAAUGCUCGCCAAGCAGGAGGCCCAGAUGAACCUGAUGAAGCAGGCAGUGGAGAUAUACGUCCAUCAUGAAAUUUACAACCUGAUCUUUAAAUACGUGGGGACCAUGGAGGCAAGUGAGGUAGGUUCUCAGUUAUUAUCACCCAAGAUGGAAGCCUUCUUCUGUGCUUUUUGAGAAAUUUGAAGGUUCGUUAAAAUCUGUUGUUAGGAUGCGGCCUUUAACAAAAUCACAAGAAGCCUUCAAGAUCUUCAGCAGAAAGAUAUUGGUGUGAAACCGGAGUUCAGGUAAGGGUUUGCGCCACAGCGGCUUGGUGUCCUCAGAGGCAGGGGUGCUGUCUUCUCCCG
Molecule: long non-coding RNA, 558 nt
Filed under: Homo sapiens (human)
Lineage: Eukaryota; Metazoa; Chordata; Mammalia; Primates; Hominidae
Description: non-protein coding lnc-SLC7A9-3:1
Source: RNAcentral